GUGCCAGCAGCCGCGGUAAUACGAAGGGGUCUAGCGUUGCUCGGAAUCACUGGGCGUAAAGGGUGCGUAGGCGGGUCUUUAAGUCAGGGGUGAAAUCCUGGAGCUCAACUCCAGAACUGCCUUUGAUACUGAAGAUCUUGAGUUCGGGAGAGGUGAGUGGAACUGCGAGUGUAGAGGUGAAAUUCGUAGAUAUUCGCAAGAACACCAGUGGCGAAGGCGGCUCACUGGCCCGAUACUGACGCUGAGGCACGAAAGCGUGGGGAG
This 264-nucleotide ribosomal RNA is filed under the name uncultured Hyphomicrobiales bacterium. RNAcentral's name for it is "uncultured Rhizobiales bacterium partial 16S ribosomal RNA". It matches the Rfam family "Bacterial small subunit ribosomal RNA", at positions 505 to 768 of the family's 1533-position model. The record is from RNAcentral. Lineage: Bacteria; Pseudomonadati; Pseudomonadota; Alphaproteobacteria; Hyphomicrobiales.